Molecule: ribosomal RNA, 468 nt
Filed under: uncultured bacterium
Lineage: Bacteria
Description: partial 16S ribosomal RNA
Rfam family: Bacterial small subunit ribosomal RNA
Source: RNAcentral
GAUGAACGCUGGCGGCGUGCUUAAUACAUGCAAGUCGAGCGGAAAGGCGCUGCUCUUGCGGGGUGCACGUGUGCCGAACGGGUGUGUGAAACGCGUGUAACCUGCCCUUGUAUUUCGGAUAACUCCAGGGAACUCGGGAGAAAAUCGGAUAGAAGCUCCUGAACCGUGGGGGUGGUUGGUAAAUUUCGGCGUUGCGGGAUGGACUCGAGGCAUAUGAGCUGGUUGGGGGGGUAGUGGCUGACCAAGGCUUUGACGGGUAGCCGGCCUGAGAGGGUGGACGGCCACAUUGGGACUGAGAUACGGCCCAGACUCCUACGGGAGGCAGCAGUGGGGAAUAUUGCACAGUGGGCGGAAGCCUGAUGCAGCAACGCCGCGUGCGGGAUGACGGCCUUCGGGUUGUAAACCGCUUUCGCCUGAGACGAAGCGUGAGUGACGGUAAUGGGUAAAGAAGCACCGGCUAACUACGUG